UAGUGAGAAGAGUAAGUCAAGAGCAGACUUGUUCAAAAAGAACCAGAAGAGAAUGCUUGGGGAGAUAGAAGUGUGAGAUAGUUCUCAAGCUAAGAAAGUUGUAAAAGCUAAGAACUAGCAUCAAAUGAUGGAUGAAACACAAGGUAGUUGUUGAAAAGUCAAACACUUGGUGAUAUGAACACAAACGUUCAAUAUGACAAACCCAUGCCAAGUAAAGAGAAAAUGAAAACUGGUGAUUGUUGCGGAAAUCGUCCAGGAUUCCUCGACCAGGACUUGAAAUCGUCGAGGGAAAAUAAUCGGUUCUGAGGAAUCGUCGAUCCGGACUUGGA
Arabidopsis thaliana (thale cress) is the source of this 329-nucleotide RNA transcript. RefSeq lists it as uncharacterized. NCBI's taxonomy places the organism in Eukaryota, Viridiplantae, Streptophyta, Magnoliopsida, Brassicales, Brassicaceae. The transcript has a single exon. The record is from RefSeq.